RNAcentral lists this ribosomal RNA (374 nucleotides) under Salmonella enterica. RNAcentral describes it as "partial 16S ribosomal RNA". It matches the Rfam family "Bacterial small subunit ribosomal RNA", at positions 884 to 1258 of the family's 1533-position model. RNAcentral also lists the same sequence under 2 other names. The record is from RNAcentral. Lineage: Bacteria; Pseudomonadati; Pseudomonadota; Gammaproteobacteria; Enterobacterales; Enterobacteriaceae.
GGCCGCAAGGUUAAAACUCAAAUGAAUUGACGGGGGCCCGCACAAGCGGUGGAGCAUGUGGUUUAAUUCGAUGCAACGCGAAGAACCUUACCUGGUCUUGACAUCCACAGAACUUUCCAGAGAUGGACUGGUGCCUUCGGGAACUGUGAGACAGGUGCUGCAUGGCUGUCGUCAGCUCGUGUUGUGAAAUGUUGGGUUAAGUCCCGCAACGAGCGCAACCCUUAUCCUUUGUUGCCAGCGGUCCGGCCGGGAACUCAAAGGAGACUGCCAGUGAUAAACUGGAGGAAGGUGGGGAUGACGUCAAGUCAUCAUGGCCCUUACGACCAGGGCUACACACGUGCUACAAUGGCGCAUACAAAGAGAAGCGACCUCGC